CCCAGACUCCUACGGGAGGCAGCAGUAGGGAAUCUUCGGCAAUGGGGGGAACCCUGACCGAGCAACGCCGCGUGAGUGAAGAAGGUUUUCGGAUCGUAAAGCUCUGUUGUAAGAGAAGAACGUUAGCGGGAGUGGAAAAUCCGCUAAGUGACGGUACCUUACCAGAAAGGGACGGCUAACUACGUGCCAGCAGCCGCGGUAAUACGUAGGUCCCGAGCGUUGUCCGGAUUUAUUGGGCGUAAAGCGAGCGCAGGUGGUUUAUUAAGUCUGGUGUAAAAGGCAGUGGCUCAACCAUUGUAUGCAUUGGAAACUGGUAGACUUGAGUGCAGGAGAGGAGAGUGGAAUUCCAUGUGUAGCGGUGAAAUGCGUAGAUAUAUGGAGGGACACCGGUGGCGAAAGCGGCUCUCUGGCCUGUAACUGACACUGAGGCUCGAAAGCGUGGGGAGCAAACAGGAUUAGAUACCCCAGUACAG
Molecule: ribosomal RNA, 473 nt
Filed under: uncultured bacterium
Lineage: Bacteria
Description: bacterial SSU rRNA
Rfam family: Bacterial small subunit ribosomal RNA
Source: RNAcentral